CUUUUAACAACGGAUCUCUUGGUUCUCGCAUCGAUGAAGAACGUAGCAAAGUGCGAUAACUAGUGUGAAUUGCAUAUUCAGUGAAUCAUCGAGUCUUUGAACGCAACUUGCGCUCAUUGGUAUUCCAAUGAGCACGCCUGUUUCAGUAUCAAAACAAACCCUCUAUCCAACAUUUUUGUUGAAUAGGAAUACUGAGAGUCUCUUGAUCUUUUCUGAUCUCGAACCUCUUGAAAUGUACAAAGGCCUGAUCUUGUUUGA
This 258-nucleotide ribosomal RNA is filed under the name Mucor circinelloides. RNAcentral's name for it is "5.8S ribosomal RNA". The stretch from base 1 to 151 matches the Rfam family "5.8S ribosomal RNA". Rfam says of the family: 5.8S ribosomal RNA (5.8S rRNA) is a component of the large subunit of the eukaryotic ribosome. It is transcribed by RNA polymerase I as part of the 45S precursor that also contains 18S and 28S rRNA. The record is from RNAcentral. Lineage: Eukaryota; Fungi; Mucoromycota; Mucoromycetes; Mucorales; Mucoraceae.